This 253-nucleotide ribosomal RNA is filed under the name uncultured bacterium. Its description in RNAcentral is "partial 16S ribosomal RNA". It matches the Rfam family "Bacterial small subunit ribosomal RNA", at positions 524 to 776 of the family's 1533-position model. The record is from RNAcentral.
UACGUAGGUGGCAAGCGUUGUCCGGAUUUAUUGGGUUUAAAGGGUGCGUAGGCGGCCCUGUAAGUCAGUGCUGAAAUAUCCCGGCUUAACCGGGAGGGUGGCAUUGAUACUGCGGGGCUAGAGUACAGAUGAGGUAGGCGGAAUUGACGGUGUAGCGGUGAAAUGCUUAGAUAUCGUCAAGAACACCGAUAGCGAAGGCAGCUUACUAGGCUGUAACUGACGCUGAGGAGCGAAAGCAUGGGUAGCGAACAGG